This is a small nuclear RNA of 191 nucleotides. Its record names the gene U2. It matches the Rfam family "U2 spliceosomal RNA". Rfam says of the family: U2 is a small nuclear RNA (snRNA) component of the spliceosome (involved in pre-mRNA splicing). Complementary binding between U2 snRNA (in an area lying towards the 5' end but 3' to hairpin I) and the branchpoint sequence (BPS) of the intron results the bulging out of an unpaired adenosine, on the BPS, which initiates a nucleophilic attack at the intronic 5' splice site, thus starting the first of two transesterification reactions that mediate splicing. The record is from Ensembl.
AUCGCUUCUCGGCCUUUUGGCUAAGAUCAAGUGUAGUAUCUGUUCUUAUCAGUUUAAUAUCUGAUAUGUCCUCUAUACGAGGACUACAUAUUAAGCCGAUUUUUAGCUCUGGGAGAUGAAAAAGGGGCUUGCUCCGUUCACUCCAAGCAUCGACCAGGUAGUGCAGCCCCUCCGGGAGCGGUGCACCCUAU